CGCCGCGUGAGUGAAGAAGUAUUUCGGUAUGUAAAGCUCUAUCAGCAGGGAAGAAAAUGACGGUACCUGACUAAGAAGCCCCGGCUAACUACGUGCCAGCAGCCGCGGUAAUACGUAGGGGGCAAGCGUUAUCCGGAUUUACUGGGUGUAAAGGGAGCGUAGACGGCGAAGCAAGUCUGAAGUGAAAACCCAGGGCUCAACCCUGGGACUGCUUUGGAAACUGUUUUGCUGGAGUGUCGGAGAGGUAAGUGGAAUUCCUAGUGUAGCGGUGAAAUGCGUAGAUAUUAGGAGGAACACCAGUGGCGAAGGCGGCUUACUGGACGAUAACUGACGUUGAGGCUCGAAAGCGUGGGGAGCAAACAGGAUUAGAUACCCUGGUAGUCCACGCCGU
This 391-nucleotide ribosomal RNA is filed under the name uncultured bacterium. Its description in RNAcentral is "bacterial SSU rRNA". It matches the Rfam family "Bacterial small subunit ribosomal RNA", at positions 395 to 803 of the family's 1533-position model. The record is from RNAcentral.